This 20004-nucleotide long non-coding RNA is filed under the name Nicotiana tabacum (common tobacco). Its description in RNAcentral is "long non-coding RNA (NTAB_LNC005021)". The record is from RNAcentral. Lineage: Eukaryota; Viridiplantae; Streptophyta; Magnoliopsida; Solanales; Solanaceae.
UUUUCCAGGGUUCAGGUAGACUAAUUGAUUUGAAGCAAGACCAAAACUUACAACUUGACAUAAUGUCAACACAGAGCGUACAAAGUGAAACAACAUGGCCAUUUUAUGUAUUCUUAGCUGGUUCAAUGUUUUGUCUUCUCUCAAGCAGCAUUUGUCAUCUUUUCUCUUGUCAUUCCCACAAGUUAAACAUCCUCUUGCUUAGAAUGGACUAUGUUGGAAUCACAGUCAUGAUAAUAACAUCAUUCUUUCCACCAAUUUACUACAUAUUCCAAUGUUCACAACAUUGGCAAAUUGUAUACCUAAGUGGUAUCACAAUUAUGGGAAUUUGCACUAUCAUCACUCUACUUUCCCCCGUGUUUUCGACUCAUAAGUAUCGAUCAUUUCGAGCUGUGUUGUUCAUGUCUAUGGGAUUCUUUGGUCUGAUACCUGCAAUCCACGCGGUAAUAUUGAACUGGGAUGAGCCUGAGAGGAAUGUCACACUAGCGUAUGAGUCCGCCAUGGCAUUAUCUUAUCUAAUUGGGACUAUGUUUUAUGUUACUCGAAUCCCUGAGAGAUGGAGGCCUGGAUUUUUUGACCUAGCUGGUCANNNNNNNNNNNNNNNNNNNNNNNNNNNNNNNNNNNNNNNNNNNNNNNNNNNNNNNNNNNNNNNNNNNNNNNNNNNNNNNNNNNNNNNNNNNNNNNNNNNNNNNNNNNNNNNNNNNNNNNNNNNNNNNNNNNNNNNNNNNNNNNNNNNNNNNNNNNNNNNNNNNNNNNNNNNNNNNNNNNNNNNNNNNNNNNNNNNNNNNNNNNNNNNNNNNNNNNNNNNNNNNNNNNNNNNNNNNNNNNNNNNNNNNNNNNNNNNNNNNNNNNNNNNNNNNNNNNNNNNNNNNNNNNNNNNNNNNNNNNNNNNNNNNNNNNNNNNNNNNNNNNNNNNNNNNNNNNNNNNNNNNNNNNNNNNNNNNNNNNNNNNNNNNNNNNNNNNNNNNNNNNNNNNNNNNNNNNNNNNNNNNNNNNNNNNNNUUUUUAGAUAUACAGUAAAGUGGAAUUUUUUUCUAUAUAUACUAUAUUACAAACUAUUUUACCCGGAUUAACUGAAGUUUCCUAAUUAUCAAAAUUAACUGAUUUUUUUUUACAAUUCAUAUACAUUCCAUUUUAAAAGACUCACAAUAGCUAAAUAUUACCUUAAUUACCAUCGUGAUUAACGCAAAUCAUUGCGGAUUUCAGUUAUAAAAAGAUUCUAUAGAAUUGCGUUUAUCUAUCUAAGUGGAUAAUAAUUAUUUAAACGGUAAAUGGUCAAAUAUAUCCAUGUACUAUUAAAAAUUAUUUAAAUAUAUCAUCCGUUUCACUAUUGGUCCAAUUAACACCUUACCGUUAUACUAUGAAAUAUAUUUACCCUUAAUUUAGGCGGAGCCCCACGUGACAGCUCGGAAACGAAUGCCCCACCCCAAUUUUAAAUACCCGAUUUAGAUUAAAAUUCACCCUUUUUUAACCCAAUACCCGACCCAUUACCCUCCAAAUCUCUUUAUUUUUUUAUUAUUAUUCAUUUUCUUUUCAACCUUCUCUUUCUUCGUCAUCAAAACACCCUACCACCUUUAUCACCCACAUAAAGGUUUGGGUCCGAGAUCAGGGAUCGCGGCCCACGAAACCAGCUCACUAGGCCCGUUUAGGGCAUGACCCGACCCACUUGCCACCCCUACCCACAUUCAACCCAAAAAUCAGAAAACCAAAAAGCAGCCAUCUUCGGAAAUUGGGUUCAUCAAUUUUUUUUAGUUAAACUUAAGUUACAAUAUUAUGAAAAAAAAGAAGGAAAAAAAGCUUCCAACAAUUUGACGAACACAAGAAGAAAUAGCUGAAAUAAAUUGACAUAGAGUAGUGAACAAGGUGGAGUUUUCAUUAAAAAGGACAAGGAACCGAGAAAAACCCAUUUCCUACUACUAAUAUCUUCAUUUCCUAUUAAGAUCUUAUACUCCAUUUCCUACUAAUACAAUUUGAAUAUCUGAUUAUCAUCUGUUCCUCUUCUCCAUUUCUCAAAUCAUCAAAUAUCUCCAUGUUCAUUUAGCUAAGAAGAACUCAUUUCAUGACUUCAAGAACCAUUAAAGAACAGAGAAAUGAAGAUGAUGAGUAAUAAGAGUAUUCAUCUCAGUUUUCUUCGCAUCUCUGUUCUACUAUGCAAUGAAAUUUAAUAGAUCCAUGAAAAAUAUAACAAAAACAAAACAAGUUAUCAAUUCAAAAUAGAGAAGUUAAUCCUAAAACUUUUGCUGAAGAAAAUUUCAGAUUUGAAAACUUAAAUCUUAAGAAAGAAGUUGAGAAACAUCUAUAUAGUAAAGUAAUAAAGUUUCAUUAUAAUUAAGUAAAGUGACAAGUUAUUAAUUAACAAGUCACUUGGCAAACUUAAGGAGAGUUUGUGGGGAGAUAGUCAAAUAAGAAAAUAUAGGUUGAAUAAUAUAUGAAAUCUUAUUUACUAUAAUUAAAUUUUUACUUGGCAAUCUUAGGAGAAUUUGUGGGGAGAUUAUCAAAUAUGUUAAGAACUAUAUAUGGAAACUCAUUUAAUGUAACUAAAUUUUAAAUUAUUUAAAUUCCGUUUUGACUUGAAAAUAUUCAAUUCACUUUUGUUAUGGAACUUUAAUCUAUGUUAGAAUUAUCUUUUUUCCGAAAACACUUCAAUCAAAAAAAGAAUCUCUGAAAACAUUCAAAAGAAAUACUUACUUAGAAAAUAAAAUCUUCCGGAUAAAAAAUAAUUUGUAAAACUUUGCAGAACUCCAACUCGAAAGUCUAAGCGAAUAACAUAUAUUUGUCUCUAUAUACUAUUUCACAUAUGGCCAAAAAAAAAAAUUACAUAUAAUCAUGCAACUCUUUCACAUCUAAAAUUCUAUAAUUAUAGUUUUUUAAAACAUUAUAUCGAGAUUUAAAUAAAGUGAAUUUGUUUUAAAAUAAAUAUAAUAUAUAGGGUACACGCCUAUGUUUAUCCGGACAACAUAAAAGAAUUUAAAAAUCAAAUAAAAAUUUAUUUACAUAUAUAAUGAAGUAAACCUACAUGCUGGAGAAAGAAACAUCACAAAAAUCAGUUAAUAUACAAAAAAGUUUGUUUUUUCUUCUUUUUAAAGAAUGUUUAUUUUAAGAUUCAAUUUGUAUAAAUGAAUAUCAAACAAAUAAUAAACUUUAAUUAUAUGAAGGGUAUAUCAAAAUAGUAUCUAUCUUCCUAUUCAAAACUUUAGCUAUACAAUUGCUAUCAGUAAUUUCAAUUUAGCAUUUUUUAGGAAUUGAAGAGUAUAAGCGGAAAUCACUUCAUUUCAUUGUAGUCAAGCCAACGUUACACAUGAUACUUAUCCUAAAAUACUUGCAUUGCUCUAUUGUUGUUACGAUUUUCAUUUACCCUUUUGUCAACUUCAUUAGUAAAGUAUACUUGAUGUCAAUUGUCAUAGUUACUUUCGCCUUUCUCCAUGCGACUCAAUACAAUUUGGAUAAUAAUCGAAUAAUUAGUGAUAAUAGAAUAAUUUUUUUAUUUUUAGGAUUGCUUCAACGUUUGAGUAAAUAUUACUGUUGAUGACUAAAUUUUCCUGUAUGACGGUUGUAAAUAAAUUGAGCAUAAUCAUGUAAAAUAUGAGACUUCCUUAUAACAAAAUCUCUUUUUCCUGUAUUCAACUUGAUGCAUCUUUCAUGAAUCACUAUAAUAAGAAAAAGCUAUUUAGCAAUUUUAAAGACAAUAUUUAUUAUCUAUAUUUAUAUAUCUUUCUACAUCUAUUUAAAAUUAAUAAAUAAAUUUAGGAUAAAGAUCGUAAGUAUUAGGACAAACAUGAUAAGAAUUAGGACAAGAUCAGGUGAAUACAACUUUUUAUUUUUAUUCUUAUUAUUUAAAUGUAUAGAUAUAUACAAAUUAAUUUACUUAAUAUUUUAGUAAAUGAAUAAUAUUUUUAUUGAAAUAUUAGUAUUCAAUGUAUAUUUAAGUAACCUUUUAUCCAAAUUCACUGCAGCAAAAAAAAGAAGCUUAUAUUACCAAAUAAAUACUUUGAGUAUAAUUAAUAUAGUUGUGGCAUGAUUUAAAUAUCAUUUCUUAGUGGCGGACAAAGUGGAACUAAUAAGUUUUAUAAUUAUUAUUAAAAUUAAAAUGAAAGAAAAAGUAUCCUUUAUUUUUUUCAUUAUGAAAAGAUAUCAAGUCAAUGGACAUAGAAAAAAUUAAAUUGAAACAUAAAGUUACAGGCAAAUUGGAUAAAUUGAGAGAAAAAAAGGUUGAUGAUGGUUAUACGAAGUCAAAAGAGAAAUGAUGAUGAUAAAUAUAUUAUAAAAAUAUAAAAAAAUUAUAAGUAAAACCAAAGGUAAAUGUUUUUCUGCCUCUUAUGCCUAGAUACCCUAUUCCUUUCUUUGAUGAGUUUAUUUAAUAGACUAACUUUUUUUAGAUGAUAUAUAUAUAUAUAUAUAUAUAUAUAUAAAGGUUUCUAGCAAUAUUCAUUGAUAGGCCAAAGAACUCGAUGAGUGGACCAAUGGACAUUAAUCCUCUAUAUGCAAUUUAUUAUAAGAAUAUAUCAUACAAGAAUUUAAUUGUACAAAAAAAGACAAAUAUGAAUUUGAAUUUCUUUCAUAUCAACGUCUUAGGUUUUGUAAUUAGCGAAUAUUUUCUAUUUUAAUUAUGCAUUAAUUAGUUAUUUAUUUUUUCUACUUUAGGAGAUUAUUUAUUUCUAUUUGUCGAUAGAUACUAACACAAAUUAUAAUAAGAUUAAAAAAUAUACAAUUUAGCGCGCUAAGAAAGCUGAUAUUUCUUUAUUUUUUUGGGUUUAAAAAAAUACAAAAAACUUAAAGAUAUCGCAAACCUGACCAAGUAGGUAAAAUUCACAUUAGCAUAAAGAAAUCUAAAAUAUAUAUUUAUUAUCAUCUUACUCUUCCUAUCUAGAAAAAUGAUCUUGGAUUUGUUUUCUGUAGAUUCAGUUUUUUAGAAAGGCAUGUGGACUUAAAUUAAUUAAAGAUAUAAAAUCAUAUUAAGGCCAGUAUAAAUUACUAAUAAUUUUUUUUUUUAAAUUCGAUGGCAUUUGUUUAGCUAAUAUAUAAGAAUGUCAACUAAAUUUAAAGCCUUUUAGUUGAUAAUUAGCUAAUUUCAAGAGGAAGUAUAAUAAAAGGUCAUGUGGCAAAAAUAUUAAACAAUGAAUAAUACAAUAACAAUAUGCAAGGAACAAAAUGAGAAAAAAAAAGUGCAAAAUAAUAGAAAAAUAGACCCAUUUAAAAUUAAAUCGAUUUUUUUUUAUUAGAAUGAGAAAGGUCAUACAAUGCAUAAUAACACACAACUAAAAUCUUAAAAGAUAAUAUCUGAAAUUAUUAAGUAAUGAAAGAAUUGUUAAUAAUAGAAUUAAAAAAAAUUAAGUUAAAUUUUUUAUACAAAAUAAAUCUCAAAGUUUAGGGAUAAAUAAAAGAAAAUUUUAAUACCUUAUUGCAUUAUUAUUAAAAAAAAAUUGAUAGAUUUGUAUGUGGUAGAUUUGAAUAUCCUGCAAAAAUAUUUCAUAUCAUACGAAAGUAUGCUUUCCUGCAAAGACCCAUGUUAAGAGACAUAGAUUGGAGAAUAAAUCCUAUGUAUAGAUAUUGAUGAUGAUUUCAACGCAUAAUUUCAGACAAUGGUUAAAAGGAGAAAAACUAAAAACUAAAUAUUUUAAAACUAAAGAAUGAAUAUUAUUAAUUUUUAAGGAAAGUGCAUGGUCCGCUAUAUGAAGAAGAAAUAUUCCUGAUUUUUUUUUCUAUUUUUAUUUAUGUCCUGCCUGUAUCAGAUUUUUUAUGCUUUAUUUUUAUAACAGUAUUGAUUUGCUUAAUUUAAGCCAUAUUCAAAGUACUGUUACGAUACAUGUUUGUGGUAAUUUAUCCUGUGUAGUUGAAGUGCCAAGUGAAAAAUAUAGUUUCAUAAUCAAGAUUUCCUUUUGAUGAGUUUAUAAUUUCAUUCAUGUCCGUGUGUUUACUAAUCUCGAGCUUGACAUAUCUUUUUGAUUUAUUUAUUUAUAUUUUUUUAUCUGUUAUAUGGCAAUACUAGAUUUUGAUUUGUAUUUAUUAUAGUUUUGUAAAUGACAAUAUACACACACAUAUAUAUAUUAGAAACGUUUCGAAAAUACAGAAAAAAUUAUGUACAUUGACUAUUAUCUCGAAAACAUAUGCUGGCUCAAUGUUGAAGUGGUAUGAAGUUGAUGUUUGGUGCAAUAACGAUCAUGUUUAGCUUAUUAGUAAAGAAACAAUUAAAUAAAAUUAACAGAAGAACAAAAGAAAAAGAAACGACGGUGAAAAAAAAUAAAUGCAUUAUGUAGUAGUAACAACAUAAAAUUCAAACUUGAGAAAAUACUUUUGUCAAAUAAAAAAGGUAUGGUUGAAAAUCCCAAAAAAAUAAUCCAAAACUAAAACAAAAAAAGCUAAUCAUAAUACAAUUUGAGGUCAAUUAUUAUCUUAAGUAGGAUUUGUUUUGAAGAAAUCAGUAUUAAAAGAAGCACAAUAUUAUGUUGGUCUUUCACGAUUGAAAAAUAAAAGGGGAUGAAGAUUUUAGUAUAAUCGAUGAUAGACAAAUUGUCACCACCCAAAACUCAACCUGUCGUCAUGGCGCCUAUCAUGGUACUAGACAAGCCGACUACUCAGACAAUUCCAACACUUUCAAGUUUAAGAUAUGCUAAAACAGGUUUAAAUAAAUAAAAAUAUCAUAAAACUGAUAAAAUCGUCGCAACUCAAUACAGAAGUUUUCAAAAUCACGGUGUCACUGAGUACAUGAGUAUCUAUACAAUACAAGCCUCAAAUAAUGUCUAAGAAACUGAAACAAAAUAAAUAUGACUAAGGGAUAGGGGAGGAGAGUCAAGGUCUGCGGACGCCAGGGCAGCUACCUCGAAUAUCUCCGAAUAACAGUAAACUCUGAGAAUCAGCAACCACCGUGUCUGGAUACACUGGAUCUGCACACGAAGUGCAGGGUGUAGCGUGAGUACAACCAACUCAGUAAGUAAUAAGUCUAACUAUUGGACUGAAAGUAGUGACGAGCUUCACAUGUACAGUUCAAUUACAUGAUUACAGUACAAAAAUGUAGGCAUGCUUUCAAGUUUAAUAGUUAAAUCCCAAACAUGUAAAUCAUGUCAAGUUCAAUUGAAACAAGAUAUGGUACAUCUCGGUAUCUACAUGACAAUUAUAUAUGCCAACUGAAGUAUUAAAACAGUAAUGAAAUCAUAUGCAUACUCUCAGAGUAUCAGUCACUCAGUCCUCCCAUUCACUCCAUCCUCACAGUCACUUAUUCCUCACAGUCACUCCACCCUCACAACCACUCAAUCCUCCCAAUCACUCGGCACUCGCACUCAGUGGGUACAUGCACUCACUAUGGAUGUGCAGACUCCGGAGGGGCAAUUCCAUUCCAAGCGCUAUAAUAAGCCAAGCAUGGCAUGAAUCAAAUAAACAUGCUGAGGCGUGCAACCCNNNNNNNNNNNNNNNNNNNNNNNNNAAUCCCAUAAAUAUCCUCACAAUCAGGCCCUCGACCUCACUCAGUCAUCCAUCUCUCCAGUCUCUCAGGCUCAAAAGAAUCAUGAUAAUCAGCCCAAACAAUGAUGAUAUAAUGUAUCACUAAAGGACAACAGAGAUUGAGAUAUAAUAUGCAAAUAAUAGUUGUGACUGGGUACAAAAUGGCAAAUUAAACAAAUAAUUCAACAUGUAACACAACUUUUGUGGGUUCCAACAGUACCAACACAUAGCCUAAGCAUGAUUUCUAACAUGAUUGGCAGCUCAACUUCUCUAACACAUGGUGAAAAUACGGGUAACAACAAGAUUAUUCAGCUAUACAAUUCCAUGGAAUUGACCAAGUCAUAACUCCUACGGUGCAUGCCCACACGCUCGUCACUUAUCAUGCGCGUCACCUCAACACCAAUCACAUAACACGUAAUUCGGGGUUUCAUACCCUCAAAACCAAGUUUAGAAGUAUUACUUAUAUCAAAUCGUGCAAAUCCCUACUCCAAUAAGCCCUUGUCUCGCGAAUCAGCCUCCAAAUGCCUCGAAUCUAGCCACAAACAAUUCAAUACAAUCAACACGAGCUAAAAGAAUUAAUUCCAUAAGAAAAUACUAAAUUCUUAACCAAAAGUCAAAAAGUCAACUCAAAAGUCGACCCCCGUGCCCACGUCUCGGAAUCCAAUAAAAGUCACAAAAUCCGAAAACCCAUUCAACCACGAGUCUAACUAUACCAAAUUUACCAAAUUUCGAUACCAAAUCACCACUCAAAUCCCCAAAUUAAACUCUCCAAAUUCCUAGCCUCAAACUCCCAAUUUCCACCUCAAAAAUACACAAACUAGGUGAGAGAUUCAAUGGGGAAACAAUAUUAUUGAAUAAAAGUGAUCACAAGUGACUUACCUCAAGAAACCCCUCAAAAUCGCUCUCACAAAUCGCCUUAGUCCGAGCUUGAAAUGUCCAAAAAUGAUAAAACCACGAACCCUCGAACUAAUAUAAUCUGCCUAGUGCUUUCGCUUAUGUGGAUCACUUGACCGCAUCUGUUGUCCCUCUUUUGUGGAUUUUCCAUCGCUUAUGAGAUCCAGGACCUCCAACCCACUUCUGCAUCUGCGAUCUCUCAUGCGCAGAUGCGCAUCCGCAUCUGUGGAUAUACUUCCGCACCUGCGCUCCCAGGCUUCCUUUCCCAAUCUCACACCUGCGACACCUUUUCGUAUCUGCAACCUCGCAGGUGUGGACAACCCUUCACACCUGCGAUCACUGCCCAGCUUCGCCCAAACCAAACCUGCGGCCAUUCCCUCGCUUCUGCGGUCACGCUCAUGCGACCAAAACCCUGUUGUGAUGACACCAGACACCAGCAGCCCAGAUUUCCUCUCAAGUCCAAAUUUCAACCCGAUUCCCAUCUGAAUCAUUCCCGAGGCCCCCGGGACCUCAACCAAAUAUACCAACAAGUCCUAAAACCCGAGAUAUACCACUACUAGAAACCACGCCGCUGUAGAACAAUCCUCAAAUAUUAGGCAUGUUCUUUCUGGCUACGUGAGUACACCAGGAUAUCAUCAAUGAAUACUAUGACAAACGAGUUGAGAUAUGGCUGAAAUAUACUGUGCAUCAAAUGCAUGAAUGUUGUCGGGGCGUUGGUCAGCCCAAAAGACAUCACAAGGAAAUAGUAACCAUAACGGGUCCUGAAUGUUGUCAUCCGAGUCCCAAAUCUUCAACUGGUGAUACCCAAACCUCAAAUCAAUUUUAGAGAACACUUUCGCUCCUUGAAGCUGGUCAAAUAGAUCAUCAAUGCGUGGCAAAGGAUACUUGUUCUUGAUUGUAACUUUGUUCAAUUGCCUAUAGUCAAUGCACAUCCGUAUAGUACAGUCCUUCUUCUUCACAAACAGAACCGGUGCACCCCAAGGCGACACACUAGGCCUAAUAAACCCCUAAUCAAGAAGUUCCUGAAGCUUCUCUUUCAAUUCCUUCAACUCAGUUGGUGCCAUACGAUACGGAGGAAUAGAAAUAGGCUGAGUGCCCGACACUAAAUAAAGACCAAUGUCAAUAUCCCUGUCGGGCGGCAUGCCCGGCAGGUCUGUAGGAAACACAUCCAGAAAGUCUCGCACCACCGGAACAGAAUCAAUAGUAGGAGUAUCAGCACCAACAUCCCUCACGAAGGCCAAAUAAGACAGACACCCCUUCCCAACCAUCCGUUGGGCCUUCAAAUAAGUAAUCACCAUGCUGGGAACAUAAUCUAGAGAACCUCUCCACUCGAUCCUUGGCAACCCCAGCAUCGCCAAUGUCACGUUCUUAGCGUGACAAUCCAGAAUAACAUGAAAUGGAGACAACCAAUCCAUACUCAAGAUCACGUCGAAAUUGACCAUACUAAGCAAUAAGAGAUCGGCUUUGGUCUCCAAUCCCCCAAUAGUCACCACACACAACCGGUAUACACUGUUCACAACAAUAGUAUCGCCCACCGGCAGAGAUACAUGAACAGAUGAAACUAAGGACUCACGGGGCAUAUCCAGAUAACGAGCAAAAUAUGAUGAUACAUACGAAUAACUAGAACCAGGGUCAAAUAAUACAAAAGCAUCCUUGUGGCAUACUGAGACAAUACUUGUGAUCACUGUGUAUAAAGCAACAACAUCUGGUCUGGCAGGAAUAUCAUAGAAUCAGUCCUGACCACCACCUGAUCGGCCUCUCCUCUAGGGCAACCUCUAGCUGCCUGGGCCCCACCCCGAACUGGCUAGGUGGGUGGUGAAGUAAUUGUUGCUGAAGUCGUGGCCUGACUCCUUUGUUGCAUUGGACCUCCCGGGCAGCGAGGACACUGUCUCCACAUAUGCCCAAACUCCCCGCACUCAAAGCAACUUCCCGAUAGUGGUGGUGAGGACUAAAUCGGGCUCCGAGUACCAGAGUAACUGCUAGAAGGACCUGCUACAGAUGAACCCUAAACCGAUGGAGCACGAGACAAAUUUUGAGCUGGGAAAGCACUGAGAGAUGAUUGGCCCGGAUAGGCACUGUAUGAACCAUGGCUAGAUGAUGUACCACGAUGAACUGGGCAAGCCAUCUGAGUGGUCUUAUAAGGACGAACCAUGUUGUGGUGGAACUGGCCCCUAGAAGGAACACCGCUUAAACCACCUGAACCACGAGGCUUAUUGGCCUCCCUCUCCUCACGCUCCUGACUACGGACCAUCUCUAGCCACCGAGCGAUAUCAACCACCUCAUUGAACCGAGCACCAAAUACACUCUCCCGAGUCAUAACAAAACACAACUGAUAGUGGAGGCCAUCAAUGAACCUCCUAAUCCUCUCCCUCUCAGUGGGAACCAACCAAACUGCAUGACGAGCCAACUCUGAAAAUCUUAUCACAUACUGGGUCACAGACAGGCGAUCCUGAUGUAGCUGCUCGAACUGCCUGCGCAGCUCCUCCAUACGGAUCUAUGGCAUAAACUUUUCCAAGAAGAGGACGGAGAACUCAUGCCAUGAAAGUGGUGCAGCACCGACUGACAUGCUUCUCUCAUAGGCCUCCCACCAUCUGAAGGUAGCCCCAGUACACUGAAAAGUAGUGAAUGAGACCCCACUAGUCUCCAUAAUACCCGUUGUAUGAAGAAUCUGCUGGCACCUAUCCAAGAAGUCCGGGGCAUCCUCUGACUCAACCCUACCAAAUGAUGGAGGUUGGAGUCUCCCAAAUCUCUCAAGUCUCUUUUGCUUAUCAUCACUCAUAACAUGACGCGCUUGGGCCUGAGCAACUGCAACCCGUUGGGCUGGUAGUACCCCCGGUGUCUGAAGUCCCUGCAUCACCUGCUCUGGAGUACGGGCGGUGAGAGUCUGAGUACCUACCUGGCAUAAGAGGUGGCUGGCGCGGUCAGAACAGAAACCACCUGAGCGAGGCUAGUGCACACAGUCAAUAUGUAAGCCAAAGCCUCUUGAAGGCCUAGAAUCACAAUGGGAAUAGUUGGUGCUUGAGCUGGCCCCACUAGCUCAACCACAUCAGGAACCUGCUCCUAAGUUGGAGCGAUUGGUGGAUCUGCAGGUGCUGCUCUAGCUGAUGUACGACUGCACCUUUUCCCUUACCACGGCCCCUACCGCGACCCCGGCGUCUCGUGACCCUAACAGGUGGUACUAGUGGUUGUCCGUCCGCUCCGGUAGCACAUGUCCUCACCAUCCGUGAGAGAAUAGAAUAACAGAAGUUUAGUUCCCAUAAUCAACAAAUUCGCACAACAGAAAAUACAAGAAUGUGAAGUUUCCUAAGGGUUCAACAGCCUCUCAAAGAUAAGUACAAACGUCUCCAUAUCGAUCUGCAAGACUCUACUUAACCUGCUCAUGACUCGUGAGACCUAUGUAACCUAGGCUCUGAUACCAACUUGUCACGACCCAAAACUCAACCUGUCGUGAUGGCGUAUAUCAUGGUACUAGGCAAGCCGACUACUUAGACAAUUCCAACACUUUCAAGUUUAAGAUAUGCUAAAACAGGUUUAAAUAAAUAAAAAUCUCAUAAAACCAAUAAAAUUGUCGCAACUCAAUACACAAGUUUCCAAAACCACGGUGUCACUGAGUACAUGAGCAUCUAUUCAAUACAAGUCUGAAAUACUAUCUAAGAAAACAAAAACUAAAUAAAUAAUACUGAGGGAUAGGGGAAGAGAGUCAAGGUCUGCAGACGCCAGGGCAGCUACCUCGAAUAUCUCCAAACAAUAGUAAAUUCUGAGAAUCAGCAACCACCGUGUCCGGAUACACCUGGAUUUGCACACAAAGUACAGGGUGUAGCGUGAGUACAACCAACUCAGUAAGUAACAAGUCUAACUAUUAGACUGAAAGUAGUGACGAGCUUCACAUGUACAGCUCAAUUACGGGAUUACAGUACAGAAAUGUAGGCAUGCUUUCAAGUUUAACAGUUAAAGCCCAAAUAGGUAAAUCAUGUCAAGUUUAAUUGAAACAAGUUAUGCUACAUCUCGAUAUCUACAUGACAAUUAUAUAUGCCAACUGAAGUAUUAAAACAGUAAUGAAAUCAUAUGCAUACUCUCAGAGUAUCAGUCACUCAGUCUUCCCAUUCACUCCAUCCUUACAGUCACUCAUUCCUUACAGUCACUCAUCCUCACAAACACUCAAUCCUCCCAAUCGCUCGGCACUCACACUCAGUAGGUACAUGCGCUCACUCUGGAUGUGCAGACUCUGGAGGGGCAAUUCUAGCCCAAGCGCUAUAAUAAGCCAAGCAUGGUAUGAAUCAAAUAAACAUGCUAAGACGUGCAAUAUCCUCAUAAUUAGGCCCUCGGCCUCACUCAGUAAUCCAUCUCUCCAGUCUCUCGGGCUCAAAAGAAUCAUGAUAAUCAACCCAAACAAUGAUGAUAUAAUGCAUCACUAAAGGACAACAGAGAUUGAGAUAUAAUAUGCAAAUAAUAGUUGUGACUGAGUAAAAAAUGGCAAAUUAAAAAAUUAAUUCAACAUGUAACACGGCCUCUGUAGGUCCUAACAGUACUAACACGUAGUCUAAGCAUGAUUUCUAACAUGAUUGGUAGCUCAACUUCUCUAACACAUGGUGAAAAUACGGGUAACGACAAGAUUAUUCAACUAUACAGUUUCAUGAAAUUGACCAAGUCACAAUUCCUACGGUGCACGCCCAUAUUCCCAUCACCUAGCAUGUGCGUCACCUCAACACCAAUCACAUAACACGUAAUUCGGGGUUUUAUACCAUCAGAACCAAGUUUAGAAGUGUUACUUACCUCAAACCGUGCAAAUCCAUACUCCAAUAAGCCCUUGCCUAGCGAAUCAGCCUCCGAAUUCCUCGAAUCUAACCACAAACAAUUCGAUACAAUCAACACGAGCUAAAGGAAUCAAUUCCAUAAGAAAAUACUAAAUUCUUAAUCAAAAGUCAACUCAAAAGUUGACCCUCAGGCCCACGUCUCGGAAUCUAAUAACAUUCACAAAAUCCAAAAGCUCAUUCAACCAUGAGUCUAAUUAUACCAAAUUUACCAAAUUCCAAUACCAAAUCACCACUCAAAUCCCCAAAUUAAGCUCUCCAAAUCUCUAGCCUCAAACUCCCAAUUUCCAUCUAAAAAAUGACCAAACUAGGUGGGAAAUUAAAUGGGAAAAUAAUAUUAUUGAAUAAAAGUGAUCGCGAAUGACUUAACUUAAGAAACCCCUUGAAAUCCCUCUCAAAUAUUGCCUUAGUUCGAGCUUGAAAUGUCCAAAAAUGAUAAAAUCAUGAACCCUUGAAUUAAUAUAAUAUGCCUAGUGCUUUCGCUUCUGCAGAUCACUUGACCACACAUGCGGUCCCGCUUCUGCGGGUUUUCCAUCGCUUCUGCGAUCCAGGACCUCCAAACCACUUCCGCAUUUGCGGUCUCUCAUGCGCAGACGCGCAUCCGCAUCUGCGGAUAUACUUCCGCACCAGCGCCCCUAGGCUUCCUUUCCCAAUCUCGCACUUGCGACACCUUUCAGCAUCUCCGACCUCGCAGGCGCGGACAACCCUUCACAUCUGCGAUCACUACCCAGCUUCACCCAAACCGCACCUGCGACUAUUCCCUCGCUUCUGUGGUCACGCACAUGCGACCAAAACCCCGUAGGUGCAAUGACACCAGACACCAGCAUCCCAGAUUUCCUCUCAAGUCUAAAUUUCAACCUCAUUCCCAUCUGAAUCAUUCCCGAGGCCCCCGAGACCUCAACCAAAUAUACCGACAAGUCCUAAAACCCUAUACGAACUUAUUCUAGCCCUCAAAUCACAUCAAACAAUAUCAAAAAUACGAAUCGCACCCCAAUUCAAGCCUAAUGAAAACAAAGGAAUUCCAACUUCUACCAUCAAUGUCGAAACCUAUCAAAUCACGUUCGAUUGACCUCAAAUUUUGCAUACAAGUCAUAAAUGACAUAACAUACCUACUCCAACUCCCGGAACCAACAUCCGAUCCCGGUAACCACAAAGUCAACUCUCGGUCAAACUUCUCAAUUUCCAAAACUUCUAAUUUUCCAGCUUUUGCCAUUUCAAGCCUAAAUCAACGACGGACCACCAAAUCACUAUCCGGACAUACUCCUAAAUCCAAAAUCAUCCAACAGAGCUAUCAGGGCCAUCAAAACCCCAUUUCGUGGCCAUUUACACAUAAGUCAACAUCCGAUCAACCUUUUCAACUUAAGCUUCUAACCUUGAGACUAAGUAUCUUAACUCAAUCUGAACCAUCCCUAAACCGAACCAACUACCAUGGCAAGUCACAUAACAACUAAUAAGCGUAAAAUGAGUAGUAAAUGGGGGAACGGGGCUACAACAUUCAAAAAGACCAGUCGAGUCAUUACACAAAUAAUGAAUGAACCUAUAAAUGUAGUGUAUAAAUAAAUUUUGCAAAUUCGUUUGAGGAAUCACUGAAUCUAUUUUUUAUCAUAUUAUUAUGUAUUUUUAAUUGAUCAAUUCAUAUUAUUUGUAUCACAAAUUUCAUAUUUUUAUUUUGUGUUUUCAUAUCAUUAAAAUGCUAUAGGGGUAAAGCUAAUAUGUUUUUGUUAACUUUAAGUAUUAAAAUUUUGAUAUGAGAAACUGGAUCAAUUAAACACAAUGCAAGCAGAUAAAUACUUGAGCUUUAAAACUCAAUAGUGAUUUUACAUAUUACUUACUUUGAAUACAUUUCUUUUAAUAUCGAUCGCGCAUCGCGCGGGUACUAAUACUAGUUGAAGAAUGAAAAUUACAUUGGGUAUAAAGUAAAAGAGAGUUUGUGAGAUGAAGAAGAUGAUAGAAACAAGAAGAUGGUAAUAGGUUAAAAACAACGGCCGGGUAUUUAAAAUUGGGGGUGGGUCAUUCGUUCCUGAGCUGCCAUGUGACGCUCCAUCUAAAUUAAGGGUAAAUAUGUUUCAUAGUAUAACGGUAGGGUGUUAAAUGGACUGAUAGUGAAACGGAGGAUAUAUUUAAACAAUAUUUGAUAGUACAUGUCACGACCCCAAUUUUUCUCCGUAGGAUGUCGUGAUGGCACCUAGUCUCUAAGACUAGGUAAGCCUAACAAUUUGCGGAAUAACUGAAUAAUAAACUAAACUCAAAAUGCAACACAUGAUAUAUAAAUAGAAACUGCGAUUUAAAUAAUUACAACUCCCAAAACCCGGUAGAAAUAAGUCACAAGCUUCUAAGAGAAAAUACUAAGUGUCUCUAUACAUCAAAGUCUAAAGAGAAUAAGGGAAACAACAAAAUAAGGAUAGAGGGGGGCUCCGAGGUCUGCAGACGCUGACAGAUAUACCUGAAAGUCUCCACGUAUGGUCCAGCUCACUGGUAUCUGGUCUGGAAGGAAGAACCUGGAUCUGCACAACAGGAUGUGCAAAAGUAUAGUAUGAGUACACCACAAUGGUACCCAAUAAGUGCCAAGGCUAACCUCGGUAGAGUAGUGAUAAGGUCAGGACAGGGCCCUAUUGGAAUAAAAGGAAAUGAGGCAGAAAAUAUAAUAAUACAAUGAAAUGACUGAGAAAUGAACAACAAGAAAUUACAUAAAGGUAACAGUACAACAAAUAGAGUUAAACAACAAGGGCACUCCUGAGGUAUCGCCUCGUAAUCCCAAAUAUAAAUGCGCAACAGGGGGAUCUCCUGAGGUACCGCCUCGUAGUCCUAAAAGUAAAUAUGUAACAUGGGGAUCUCCCGAGGUACCGCCUCGUAGUCCCAAAAGUAAAUAUGCACAAAAGGAGGAUCUCCCGAGUUACCGCCUCGUAGUCCUAAAAGUAAAUAUGCAACUCAUAAAUUAUGGAAUAACGAAUUUACGGAAAAGAAUCCUACAAUUAAAGACUGAAUAUAAUAAUCAAGGAAACAUGAAAUUCAGCUAAGCAUGUUGCACGAAUUUCAAGUAAAGGUUAAGACACGUAGACAUGCGAUACUAGGCUAACAUAACAGCUACACAUGCUAAAGCAACUCAGUUAAGGAAUUUAAAAGAAAUCUACUCAACAAGAACCAGAUUUUUCACAAUUAGCCCGUGUACGCACUCGUCACCUCGCAUACACGGCGCUCACAUAUCACAAAUUGUUACACCAAUACAAAAUUCUAAGGGGAUUUCCCCCCACAUAAGGUUAGACAAGUCACUUACCUCGAAUCUCACUCAACUAGUCGAUAAGAAUGCCUUUUCCUCGACUUUUCGACCCUGAAUGUCCCAAAUCUAGCCAAAAGCAAUUACAUACUAUAAAUACAACUACAAGAAACUAAUUUAAAUAAUGAAACUACGACUUUAGUAAAGAAUCAAAAAUUAACCCAAAAAGUCGACCCGAGCCCACGUCUCGGAAUCGAGUAAAAGUCACAAAAUACGAAUACCCAUUCGAUAUCAAGUUCACCCAUACCAAAAUUACCAAAAUCCUACACCAAGUUGCCACUCAAAUCUCCAAGUUAAACUCUCCAAAAUUCCACCUUAAAUACACACAAACUAGGUGGGAACAUCAAUGGGGAAACAAAAUUAUUGAUUAAAAAAAUGAGUACAAGAGACUUACCUCAAUAAAUCCCUCGAAAAUGCUUUCAAAAAUCUCCAAGACCCGAGCUCAAAAUGUUUAAAAUGAAGAAAAAUCGCGAAACCUUGUAUUUAAGUGUUCUGUCCCGCACCUUCGCUUCUGCGAAAAGUUAGCCGCAUCUGCGGCGUCAUAGAAGUGACAACAUACCCGCUUCCGUGGCUUCCCUCGCUCCUGCGAUCUCUUCAUCCACUCCUGCGGACUCGCUUCUGCGGGCCUCCCAACUGCUUCUACGGUCCUAACUUCCUUGCAAAAAUUUUCUUCUGCGGUUCAAAGACCGCUUCUGCGGGUGCGCAUCUGCGCAAACUCGUCAGUUUCUGCGGACGCGCCUCCCAAUCACUCGUCCGCUUCUGCAAUCACUCUUCCACAGAAGCGACUCCGCUUCUGCGGCCUUCACACCGUACCUGCGACCACAGGACAUUUCCUCCAGCUCCGCAUCUGCGCCUAAAUGCUCGCUUCUACGAGCUCGCACCUACGGUCAAUCUUGUGCAGGUGCGAUUACAACAGAACUGGUGCACUUCAGCCAUUCUCACAAGUCCAAAUUGAUCUGUUAACCAUCUGAAAAUCACCUGAGGCCCCCGGGAUCUCAACCAAAUACACCGACAAGUCCUAAUACAUCAUACGAACUUAGUCGAGUCUCUAAAUCACCUCAAACAACGCUAAAAAUAUGAACGACACAUCGAUUCAUGCCUAAUGAACUUUAAAACUUCAAACUUCUACAUCCGAUGCUGGAAACUAUCAAAUCAAGUCCGAUUGACCUCAAAUUUUGCACACAAGUCAUAAUUUAUAUUACGGACCUACUCCAACUUUCGGAAUCGAAAUCCUACCCUUAUAUCAAAAAGUCCACUCUCGGUCCAACUUUUUAACUUUCGCCAUUUGACGCUAAAAUGACCUACGGACCUCAAAUUCAACAUCCGAACACGCUCCUAUGACCAAAAUCACCUUACGAAGCUAUUGGAACCGUCAAAACCCCAUUCCGUAGUCGUAUUCACACAAUUCAAACUACGAUCAAUAUUUAGAUGUUAAACUUCCAAUUCAGUGACUAUGUGUCUCAUUUCACUCCGAAACCAAAAACUAAUCCUCCCGGCAGUUACGUAACCACAAAAUAAAAUAAAGGGAGCAAUAAUUAGGGGUUCGGGGCUAAUACUCUCAAAAUGACCGGUCGGGUCGUUACAUCCUCCCCCUCUUAAAACAAACGUUCGUCCUCGAACGAGCAUAGAGACAUACCUGUAGUGGUGAAAAGAUGAGUAUAAUGGUUGCGCAUAUCAUGCUCGGUCUACCAAGUCGCCUCCUCGACCGGAUGUCCCCUCCACUGAACCUUCAUAGAAGCAAUGUUCUUUGACCUCAACUUUCAAACAUGCCUAUCCAAAAUGGCCACCGGCUCCUCAACAUAAGGUAGAUCCUUGUCCAACUGGACUGAGCUGAAGUCUAACACAUGAAAUGGAUCACCAUGAUACUUCGGGAGCAUGGAAACAUGGAAUACUGGAUGAACUGUAGAGAUACUAGGUGGUAGUGCAAGUAUGUAAGCCACCCCUCUAACCCUCUGAAGAAUCUCAAAAGGCUCGAUAUACCUAGGGCUCAACUUGCCAUUCUUUCCAAACCUCAUAACACCCUUCAUGGGUGAAACCCGGAGCAAGACCCGCUCUCCAACCAUGGAUGCAAUGUCGCGAACCUUCCGAUCCGCAUAAAUCUUCUGCAUGGACUGGAUCCUGAAUCAAUUUAACAUUUUCCAAAGCAUCCUGAACCAAGUCUGUACCCAGUAGCCUAGCCUCGCCCGACUCGAACCAACCCACUGGAGACCGACACCGUCUACCAUAAAAAGCCUUAUACAGGGCCAUCUGAAUGCUCUCUUGAUAACUGCUGUUGUAGUCAAACUCCGCCAGUGGCAAGAACUGAUCCCAAGCACCCCAAAAACCCAUCACACACGCAUAAAGCAUAUCCUUAAAUAUCUGAAUAGUGCGCUCGGACUAUCCGUCCGUCUGGGGGUGAAAUGUUGUACUAUACUCCACCCGAGUACCCAACUCACAUUGUACAGCUCUCCAGAACCGCGAUGUAAACUGCGUACCCUGGUCAGAGAUGAUAGAUACUGGUAUAUCAUGAAGCCUGACAAUAUCGCGAAUGUAAACCUGAGCCAGCUGCUCCAAAGAGUGAGUAGUAACCACGGGAAUGAAAUGAGUUGACUUGGUCAAUCUAUCCACAAUCACCCAAACUGCAUCAAACUUCCUCUGAGCCCGUGGGAGCCCAACAACGAAAUCCAUAGCGAUCCGCUCCCAUUUCCACUCCGGAAUCUCUAGCUUCUGAAGCAAUCCACCCAGUCGUUGAUGCUCAUACCUCACCUGCUAAUAAUUUAAGCAACGAGCUACAUAUUCCACUAUGUCCUUCUUCAUCCGCCUCCACUAAUAGUGCUACCUCAAAUCCUAAUACAUUUUCACGACACCUGGAUGAAUGGAGUAUCGCAAACUGUGAGCCUCCUAGAGAAUCAACUCACACAAACCAUCUACAUUACUCACACAUAGCCUGCCCUGCAUCUGUAAUACACCGCCAUCCCCAAUAGUGACUUCCUUGGCAUCGCCAUGCUGAAUAGUGUCCUUAAGGACAAGCAGAUGGGGGUCAUCAUAUUGACGCUCUCUGAUACGAUCAUAAAGAGAUGGCUGAGAAACCACACAAGCCAAAACUUGGCUCGGAUCGACUCGGAAACNNNNNNNNNNNNNNNNNNNNNNNNNACUAAAGGCAUCGGCCACCACAUUGGCCUUCCCAGAAUGAUAGAGGAUGGUGAUGUCAUAAUCCUUAAGCAGCUCCAACCAUCUCCGUUUUUAGAUCCUUCUAUUUAAACAGAUGUUGUAGACUCUGGUGAUCGGUGAAAACCUCACAAGGGACACCAUACAAAUAGUGCCGCCACAUCUUCAAGGCAUGAACAAUAGCUGCUAACUCGAGGUCGUGGACAGGAUAGUUCUUCUAAUGCACAUUCAACUGUCUAGACGUGUAGGCAAUCACCCUACGGUCAUGCAUCAACACCGCGCCGAGACCAAUGCACGAUGCAUCACAAUACACCGUAUAGGACCCCGAACCAGUAGUCAACACCAACACUGGGGCUAUAGUCAAAGCAGUCUUAAGCUUUUGAAAGCUCUCCUCAUAAUCCUUGGUCUACCUGAACGGAGCACCCUUCUGGGUGAACCUGGUCAUAG